GCCCCAUUUUCUCUGAACCAUUCUUCCAUCUUCCGUACCAAUUUCAACCCUAUUCCCUUUCUCCGGUGAUGAGGAGAGACACGAAGGCCUAAAAUAUAGGAAAGUUUAGUGAAAACAGGAAGGUGUUGUUGAUGAGGCAAUUUGGGGAAAUCGUGAUUGUUCCUCCACAGCCUCUUUCCACACGUAACGCUUUUGAUACAACCUCUUAUCAUUCCUACUAUUCCCCUGCUUUCUUCUCCCACUACUAUCUCUGCCACCAGCAUCAGAUACGCAG
RNAcentral lists this unclassified non-coding RNA (274 nucleotides) under Hevea brasiliensis (rubber tree). Lineage: Eukaryota; Viridiplantae; Streptophyta; Magnoliopsida; Malpighiales; Euphorbiaceae. The record is from RNAcentral.